UACGUAGGGUGCGAGCGUUGUCCGGAAUUACUGGGCGUAAAGAGCUUGUAGGUGGUUUGUCGCGUUGUUCGUGAAAUCUCACGGCUUAACUGUGAGCGUGCGGGCGAUACGGGCAGACUAGAGUACUGCAGGGGAGACUGGAAUUCCAGGUGUAGCGGUGAAAUGCGUAGAUAUCUGGAGGAACACCGGUGGCGAAGGCGACAUCCUGGACCGGUAUUGACGCUGAGGCGCGAAAGCCAGGGGAGCAAACGGG
RNAcentral lists this ribosomal RNA (253 nucleotides) under uncultured bacterium. RNAcentral's name for it is "partial 16S ribosomal RNA". It matches the Rfam family "Bacterial small subunit ribosomal RNA", at positions 524 to 776 of the family's 1533-position model. The record is from RNAcentral.